UUCUGGUAAUCCUGAUGCUAACCCAAGGAAGAGCUGCAAUGCCAUCUUGAUCAGAGAAGGAGAUGAUGUGUGGGAGGAAUUGGACACUGAAGACGAGUUGGAGAUUGCAGUUGCAGAGAUGGUGUCGACCGACACCCUCCUGUGUCGAUCGACACCAUAGGGGAUGCUCUUCUCAGAGACGACUAAAUACGACGGUGUCAAUCGAUACCCCUCUAGUGUCGAUCGACACCAUAGGGGAUGCUCUUCUCAGAGACGACUAAAUACGACGGUGUCAAUCGAUACCCCUCUAGUGUCGAUCGACACUAGAUCCGGAUCACACCUUGUGAGGUGCAAGUACCUAUGCAGCCUGAGCCAGUCUACACUCCUGCUGUCCCCUAUCCGGGGAGGCGUCGUUCUAAGUACGAAAUUCACGCUGCUAAGUGCACAGCCAUAAUGGAGAAGAUCCUCCAUACUCUUCCUAAGGAUGCUUCAGAGACA
This 477-nucleotide small RNA is filed under the name Arabidopsis thaliana (thale cress). RNAcentral's name for it is "ATSL202770". The record is from RNAcentral. Lineage: Eukaryota; Viridiplantae; Streptophyta; Magnoliopsida; Brassicales; Brassicaceae.